AACGAACGCUGGCGGCAUGCCUAACACAUGCAAGUCGAACGAGACCUUCGGGUCUAGUGGCGCACGGGUGCGUAACGCGUGGGAACCUUCCCUUAGGUUCGGAAUAACUCCCCGAAAGGGGUGCUAAUACCGGAUAAUGUCUUCGGACCAAAGAUUUAUCGCCUUUGGAUGGGCCCGCGUUGGAUUAGCUAGUUGGUAGGGUAAAAGCCUACCAAGGCGACGAUCCAUAGCUGGUCUGAGAGGAUGAUCAGCCACACUGGGACUGAGACACGGCCCAGACUCCUACGGGAGGCAGCAGUGGGGAAUAUUGGACAAUGGGCGAAAGCAUGAUCCAGCAAUGCCGCGUGAGUUAUGAAGGCCUUAGGGUUGUAAAGCGCUUUUACCCGGGAUGAUAAUGACAGUACCGGGAGAAUAAGCUCCGGCUAACUCCGUG
Molecule: ribosomal RNA, 433 nt
Filed under: uncultured bacterium
Lineage: Bacteria
Description: partial 16S ribosomal RNA
Rfam family: Bacterial small subunit ribosomal RNA
Source: RNAcentral